Molecule: long non-coding RNA, 1090 nt
Filed under: Citrus sinensis (sweet orange)
Lineage: Eukaryota; Viridiplantae; Streptophyta; Magnoliopsida; Sapindales; Rutaceae
Description: long non-coding RNA (CSIN_LNC001006)
Source: RNAcentral
AGGUAGUAAAGGGUGCCUUGAUGGAGGGGGCCUUUGUGGAGGAGACCCUUGUGGAGGGGGAACUGGUGGAGGGGGCCCUACUUGUGGCUCUGUCUCCGAUAUGCCUCCUGCCACUACAAUAAGGUUCUCAUACCUAAAUGAACAAAAAGCACACUUAAUCAGAAAUUUGAUAAAACAAAAGGUCAAUCAGGCAAAAAUCUCUUUUUUAAAAAAAAAUUUCUUAUGUUCAAAACCUACAUCAUGAAUUAGGAAAAUAUAGAGCAACUCACAAUCCACAAUAUAUUUAGCAAAAUAUUUUGAAUUGCCAAUGCAAUACAUAAAAAUAGGGAUCAUCAGUUGGCAUCUGCAAGCAUGCAAACCAAAGAGUGAAUACAUACAUCAAGUUUCCUUUUGGAGGGGGAACUGGUGGAGGCGGCCCUUGUGGAGGGGGAACUGGUGGAUGCGGCCCUUGUGGAGGGGGUCCUUCCUCUUGUAGAGGGGGACCUGGUGGAGGGGCCCCUUGUGGAGGAGGAACUGGUAGAGGGGGCCCAACAUGUGGAUUUGCCUCUGAUAUGCCUCCUGCAACUAAAAUUAGGUUCUCAUACCUAACAGAAAUAAAGGACAGUUAAUCAGAAAUUAGAUAAAAUUAAAGUCAAUAUGGCAAGAAUCUUUUGUUUGUAUGCUCAAUGCAAACAUCAUUAAUUAGGAAAAUGAAGAGCGACUCCCAAUCCAUGUUAUAUUUAGCAAAAUAUUUUGAAACAGAAGUAAGAUGAUGGCCAAUGCAGUACGUAAAAAUGGGGAUCAUCGGUUGCCAUCUACAAGCACGCAAACCAAGGAGUGAGUACAUACAUCAAAUUUCUAACAGGUCCUUGUGGAGGAUGCACUGGUGGGGGGUGUCCUUCUGGAGGAGGAACUGGUGGAGGGGGCCCUACUUGUGAAUCUGACUCUGAUUUGCUCAAUAUAUAAUCCCUUAAAUUUUCUGUCCAUUCUCCAAGAACCUUUAUGAGAACAGAUGAAUGAUAUUUUCCCUCUAGCGGACUAGAUGAUACACUGAAAGGAUGCCACUGCAGCCAAGAUAAUUCUCGAACUUGAAGGAAAAAGAAACUCAGGG